GUCUCUUCGUGAAACGGUUUCGAUUCUCUCACUCUCGUGAGCACGAACGUGGUCAAAGUCGUGCGGAUUCUCGACAGUUCACCACACAGGGAGUGUGAAAGGGAGAUUGGGCGAGAAGGAGAAAAAAAAACCCAGAGAAAUUAGAAAUGGCGAACGGCGGCCAAUCCCUUAUCAAAAUGGGUUAAGCCGGUUAAGAAAUCAAGAAGAGCAAAACUGUGUCAAGUCAUUAUCGCUCCGACAAGAAGACAACUAAAGGUCAAACCCUAACCGAUGAUUAUGAUGAUGGCCGGUUGUCCGAGCUGACUUACCUUGGGGUCCCGUUCGUAGUAGUGCUGCUGAGUUCGGAUCCAGCGAGACACCAGGUGGUCCUUGACGGUGUGCGCCAGGGCAAAGUAGUAGUCACGCGUGGUGGCCACAUUGCGAUCCUUGACCAGGGUGUAAUGGAGAUGGCGGUUGAAACCCUUCUUGAUCUCGUUCACAUCCUCCAGCACCGAAAUGCCCCGCACACUGAUCUGUUUGCGCUUCUGCUCGUCCGACUGUGGCUUCGACAUCUUGGCCACUUACAGUACCUUCACUCACUUAAAGAAUCAGAAUCGAACAAAGUGUCCCACCAGGAAAGACCAACUGUUCAAUAAAAGCGCAGGAGAGAACCA
Long non-coding RNA from Culex quinquefasciatus (southern house mosquito), 653 nucleotides. RefSeq lists it as uncharacterized. The record is from RefSeq and is a predicted model, not a curated record. Lineage: Eukaryota; Metazoa; Arthropoda; Insecta; Diptera; Culicidae. The transcript is spliced from 2 exons.